GGCGNGCUAUACAUGCAGUCGAACGAACUCUGGUAUUGAUUGGUGCUUGCAUCAUGAUUUACAUUUGAGUGAGUGGCGAACUGGUGAGUAACACGUGGGAAACCUGCCCAGAAGCGGGGGAUAACACCUGGAAACAGAUGCUAAUACCGCAUAACAACUUGGACCGCAUGGUCCGAGUUUGAAAGAUGGCUUCGGCUAUCACUUUUGGAUGGUCCCGCGGCGUAUUAGCUAGAUGGUGGGGUAACGGCUCACCAUGGCAAUGAUACGUAGCCGACCUGAGAGGGUAAUCGGCCACAUUGGGACUGAGACACGGCCCAAACUCCUACGGGAGGCAGCAGUAGGGAAUCUUCCACAAUGGACGAAAGUCUGAUGGAGCAACGCCGCGUGAGUGAAGAAGGGUUUCGGCUCGUAAAACUCUGUUGUUAAAGAAGAACAUAUCUGAGAGUAACUGUUCAGGUAUUGACGGUAUUUAACCAGAAAGCCACGGCUAACUACGUGCCAGCAGCCGCGGUAAUACGUAGGUGGCAAGCGUUGUCCGGAUUUAUUGGGCGUAAAGCGAGCGCAGGCGGUUUUUUAAGUCUGAUGUGAAAGCCUUCGGCUCAACCGAAGAAGUGCAUCGGAACUGGGAAACUUGAGUGCAGAAGAGGACAGUGGAACUCCAUGUGUAGCGGUGAAAUGCGUAGAUAUAUGGAAGAACACCAGUGGCGAAGGCGGCUGUCUGGUCUGUAACUGACGCUGAGGCUCGAAAGUAUGGGUAGCAAACAGGAUUAGAUACCCUGGUAGUCCAUACCGUAAACGAUGAAUGCUAAGUGUUGGAGGGUUUCCGCCCUUCAGUGCUGCAGCUAACGCAUUAAGCAUUCCGCCUGGGGAGUACGGCCGCAAGGCUGA
This 888-nucleotide ribosomal RNA is filed under the name Lactobacillus sp. 47DCCL02MX. RNAcentral describes it as "bacterial SSU rRNA". It matches the Rfam family "Bacterial small subunit ribosomal RNA", at positions 41 to 897 of the family's 1533-position model. The record is from RNAcentral. Lineage: Bacteria; Bacillati; Bacillota; Bacilli; Lactobacillales; Lactobacillaceae.